This is a long non-coding RNA of Nomia melanderi (Alkali bee), 735 nucleotides long. RefSeq lists it as uncharacterized. NCBI's taxonomy places the organism in Eukaryota, Metazoa, Arthropoda, Insecta, Hymenoptera, Halictidae. The record is from RefSeq and is a predicted model, not a curated record.
CUUUAAGCCUCCGCGUUCUGAAUUAUCGUUUUUCUCUUUCAGUAUCUUCCAGACACUGCUAGCCUAAUCGAGUAACACUGCCAACCAGAAGCUUGAUUCGCGAUAAUUGUGAAGUAUUUAUUAAUUAGACACGAAUAUACGCGGCGAUGCUUGACGUUAAAUGGAGUUAAAUUGAAUUUUAUAAAUGCUCGAGCGUGUUUCGUUUGUUAUUGCUUUCUAACGAACGCUACGUUGAGUCAUCUCGACAAUGUGAACUGUGGAAAUGUUCUUGAAAUUCCUGUUGUACGAUUUCGUUAUCGGAUUGCAGAUUUUAUACAGUUACAACGCUCGUAAACGUGCAACGAGGAAUGUUGCCAAAGCAAAUAACCGUUUCACGUGGAUUACAGUGGACAGCGAGUUUCGCGUGCGCCAUUCACAUUUAUCGUGAAUAGGAAAAGAGAAACGUUACUAUGAUAAAGGAUCAUUAAGUGGGCAGGCGAAUCAGAAUAAGUGUUAAUAAUUUUCUUUCGGGACAAGUAUAGUCCACAGUGCAGGUAUAAAUACAGGUACAAGGUUUACGACCGUCAUCGACGACUUUAUUUUUAAUUCCUCGCGCGGCAUCGAAAUGAAAAGGAACCGCGAGAAAGAGAGAGAGACAGGGAGAAAAGAAGGGGAAGAAACAUGAGAAAUAUGUUACGGUUCCAUGGAUACCGACGACCCAAUAUUUUAUACACAUUCUAUAAAUACGGCAAGGGA